RNAcentral lists this long non-coding RNA (225 nucleotides) under Capsicum annuum. Its description in RNAcentral is "long non-coding RNA (CANN_LNC009825)". Lineage: Eukaryota; Viridiplantae; Streptophyta; Magnoliopsida; Solanales; Solanaceae. The record is from RNAcentral.
UAGAAUUCAAUAAUCAACACAACUUUACGUGAACAACUACCAUAUCAAUUCAAAUUGAGUUGCUAAUUAUUUCCUCAUUUUCUUUCACGAAUAUGCUUAAUUUAAAAAAGAUGUAAUUGAUUCUUUAGCAAUAUUAAUUGUCUGAAGGUGAUAGUGAAGAAAUAUAUACCUGAAUAAGAGUCUCGUGCUGAUAACGUAUUGUAAUAUAAAUACCGAAUAAUAAAA